CGCGACCUCUGCCCUUAGUCUUAAUGACUCUCGGCAACGGAUAUCUCGGCUCUUGCAUCGAUGAAGAACGUAGCGAAAUGCGAUACUUGGUGUGAAUUGCAGAAUCCCGCGAACCAUCAAUUCUUUGAACGCAAGUUGCGCCCGAAGCCAUCCGGCCGAGGGCACGCCUGCCUGGGUGU
This 179-nucleotide ribosomal RNA is filed under the name Pleroma pereirae. RNAcentral's name for it is "Tibouchina pereirae 5.8S ribosomal RNA". The stretch from base 26 to 179 matches the Rfam family "5.8S ribosomal RNA". From Rfam's summary of the family: 5.8S ribosomal RNA (5.8S rRNA) is a component of the large subunit of the eukaryotic ribosome. It is transcribed by RNA polymerase I as part of the 45S precursor that also contains 18S and 28S rRNA. Functionally, it is thought that 5.8S rRNA may be involved in ribosome translocation. Lineage: Eukaryota; Viridiplantae; Streptophyta; Magnoliopsida; Myrtales; Melastomataceae. RNAcentral also lists the same sequence under 2 other names. The record is from RNAcentral.